This 253-nucleotide ribosomal RNA is filed under the name uncultured bacterium. RNAcentral's name for it is "partial 16S ribosomal RNA". It matches the Rfam family "Bacterial small subunit ribosomal RNA", at positions 524 to 776 of the family's 1533-position model. The record is from RNAcentral.
UACGAAGGGGGCUAGCGUUGUUCGGAAUCACUGGGCGUAAAGCGCACGUAGGCGGCUUGUUAAGUCAGAGGUGAAAUCCUGGAGCUCAACUCCAGAACUGCCUUUGAUACUGGCGAGCUCGAGUAUGACAGAGGUUGGUGGAACUCCGAGUGUAGAGGUGAAAUUCGUAGAUAUUCGGAAGAACACCAGUGGCGAAGGCGAUCAACUGGGUCAUUACUGACGCUGAGGUGCGAAAGCGUGGGGAGCAAACAGG